RNAcentral lists this ribosomal RNA (459 nucleotides) under uncultured bacterium. RNAcentral's name for it is "partial 16S ribosomal RNA". It matches the Rfam family "Bacterial small subunit ribosomal RNA", at positions 338 to 795 of the family's 1533-position model. The record is from RNAcentral.
CCUACGGGAGGCAGCAGUGAGGAAUAUUGGUCAAUGGGCGAGAGCCUGAACCAGCCAAGUCGCGUGAAGGAUGAAGGAUCUAUGGUUUGUAAACUUCUUUUAUAUGGGAAUAAAGUGAGGAACGUGUUCCUUUUUGUAUGUACCAUAUGAAUAAGCAUCGGCUAACUCCGUGCCAGCAGCCGCGGUAAUACGGAGGAUGCGAGCGUUAUCCGGAUUUAUUGGGUUUAAAGGGUGCGUAGGCGGAGUGUCAAGUCAGCGGUAAAAUUUCGGGGCUCAACCCCGUCGUGCCGUUGAAACUGACGCCCUUGAGUGAGUGAGAAGUAAGCGGAAUGCGUGGUGUAGCGGUGAAAUGCAUAGAUAUCACGCAGAACGCCGAUUGCGAAGGCAGCUUACCGGCGCUCAACUGACGCUGAGGCACGAAAGUGCGGGUAUCGAACAGGAUUAGAUACCCUAGUAGUC